This 506-nucleotide ribosomal RNA is filed under the name uncultured bacterium. RNAcentral's name for it is "partial 16S ribosomal RNA". It matches the Rfam family "Bacterial small subunit ribosomal RNA", at positions 28 to 523 of the family's 1533-position model. The record is from RNAcentral.
GAUGAACGCUAGCUACAGGCUUAACACAUGCAAGUCGAGGGGUAACGAGAGGAAAGCUUGCUUUCCUUGUCGACGACCGGCGCACGGGUGAGUAACGCGUAUCCAACCUGCCCCCAACUAGGGAAUAACCUUGCGAAAGUAAGACUAAUACCCUAUAAUUUCCUCAGAUGUCAUCUGACGAGGAAUAAAGAUUUAUCGGUCGUGUAUGGGGAUGCGUCUGAUUAGCUUGUUGGCGGGGUAACGGCCCACCAAGGCAACGAUCAGUAGGGGUUCUGAGAGGAAGGUCCCCCACAUUGGAACUGAGACACGGUCCAAACUCCUACGGGAGGCAGCAGUGAGGAAUAUUGGUCAAUGGGCGGAAGCCUGAACCAGCCAAGUAGCGUGCAGGAUGACGGCCCUAUGGGUUGUAAACUGCUUCUAUACAGGAAUAAAGUUAGCCACGUGUGGUUAUUUGUAGGUACUGUAUGAAUAAGGACCGGCUAAUUCCGUGCCAGCCGCCGCAGUAA